Molecule: long non-coding RNA, 7175 nt
Filed under: Homo sapiens (human)
Lineage: Eukaryota; Metazoa; Chordata; Mammalia; Primates; Hominidae
Description: non-protein coding lnc-ZHX3-6:1
Source: RNAcentral
AGCAGCCCUUGGCUUUCCAUCCCAUGUGCAGCCUCUGGCCCAGCACUUAGUCCACUCUCAGUCAUAGAGCUUAUCACACAGACUUGCUCCAGUGCCCACUUGUCCAACUGCCCCAAACUCCUGGAAACCAGAAAGAACACAGAUGUAUCUCAACUGAGUGCCUACCAUAUUUCUACAGGAGGAACUGUCUUCGCAUAAAAGCCCCUCUGCAGCUCCUUAAGCCCCCACCACCACGGAAGGAAUAUACUUCCUCACCCUGUUGAUAUUGCACUUGGCCACGUGACUUGCUUUGGCCAUGAGAAUAUGUGUGGAAGUCACAGGGGCCAGGCCCAAGGCACAAAGUGUUUCCAUUCAUCCCUUUGAGCAACUGUCCUCGGCCAUGAGAACCACAAGUCCCAGACAGUGGAGGCUCCUUCAGCCUGGACUCCAAAUGAGAAGAUAUAUGAGACAGCCACCUACUCACCCCAAAGCCUGGAGCCCAGCCCAGCUAGCCCCAGAAAGCCCUGCAGAGCCCCAGCUUGACCCACAGACCCCUGGGCAAGAAGUGAAUGUUUACUGCUGUAAGCACCAGGCUUCUGGAAGUUGUCUUUUAUGCAUCAUUGUCACAGCAAAAUCUGACCAAUGUGGAUCCCUGGCUCACUCCUUAUAUUGAUUUUAGCUUGGGUCUUGAGCGAGGAUUUUCUUUUUUUUUCUUUUUUAUUAUUAUUAUUUUUUUCGAUACAGUGUCUCACUCUGUCACCCAGGCUGGAAUGCAAUGGUGCGAUCUCGGCUCACUGCAACCUCCGCCUCCCUGGUUCAAGCAAUUCUUCUGCUCCCCAUCGCUCGAAUUACCACCUGAGCUCUGCUUCCUGUCUGAUCAGCAGCAGCAUUUGAUUCUCAUAGGAGUGCGAACUCUUGUGAACUGCGCAUAUCCUACUGAUGCUUCAAUUGCCUCAUCUUUGGUCAACAAGAGCCUCUUCAAGACAUUGGCUUCUGAGCCCUUUUGACAUGACACUAUAGCUUUAUUGCUUUCUGGAAUGAAAAAGUCUUCUUGGUUCAUCUUGUAUAUUUUUUGCUCCAGACCUUGAAUCAGCUAUUUCUCCUAGGAGCCCUGGUUCUUUUGUGGGAAAUGGUAUUUUGAUAUUGCAACCUUUUCUCUAGGGGUGCUCCCCUGUUGCGCAGACGGGUGUGCAGUGUUGUGAACAUGGCUCACUGCAGCCUCAAUCCCCUGGGCUCAAGCAAUCUGGCCACCUCAACCGUUUGAACAGCUGGGGCCACAGGCGUGCACUACCACGCCUGGCUAAUUUUCCUUCAAUUUUUUUUUUUUUGCAGAGACAAGGUUUCACUAGGUUGGCCAGGUUGGUUUUGAACCCCUGGGUUCAAGUGAUCCUCCUGUCUCAGGCUUCUGAAGUGCUGGGAUUAUAGGCAUGAGCCACCAUGCCCAGCCUAGCAAUAUAUUCUGAAGAUCACUCUACUACAGUAUACAAAGAUAGCUCUCAUUCCAUUUUAUGGCUUCAUAGUAUUCCACUGUGUAAAUAUAUCAUAAUUUAUUCACAUAAUCCCCUGUUGAUGGAUGUUUGGGUAGUUUCUAGCCCCUUGUUAUUACAAUGAGUGCUGUAACAAAGAGGCUUGUGUCAGACAUUUGCCAGAGUAUUUUUGGGAUUGACUCAUGGAAGUUGUAUUGCUAAGUAAAUGCAUCUGUAAUACUGGCUUUUGAGAUCCUAGCCCAAGAAUGCUUUCUUUUUUAUUAGUUAUUUUUUAAAUAGCAAAAUCUAUCAAAACUCUUUUCACUGUAAAUUGACAAUUUAUAGCUGUAUAAAUUUGUGAGGUACAAAGUGAUGUUAUAAUGUAUGAAUACAAUGUGGAAGAAUUAAGUCAAGCUAGUUAACACAUCCACAGCCUCAAUAAGAAUACUAUCUGUGUGAGCUUUUUUCACACUACCUCUCUGUGCCUCAGUUUCUGAUCUGCAAAAUGGGGAUAAUAACAGUAUUUACCUCAGGGAGUUGUUGGGAAGACUAUAUGGGCUAGUUGUUUUAAAGUGUUUAGAAUAGACUGGGCAUGGUGGCUCAUGCCUGUAAUCCCAGCACUUUGGGAGGCCAAGGUGGGCGGAUCACUUGAUGUCAGGAGUUCGAGACCAGCCUGGCCAACAUAGUGAGACCCCUGUCUCUAUUAAAAAUGUAAAAAUUAGGGCCAGGCAUGGUGGCGCAUGCCUGUAAUCCCAGCACUUUGGGAGGCUGAGGUAGGCAGAUUGUCUGAGCUUGGGAGUUCAAGACCACCUUGGGCAACAGGGUGAAACCUUGUCUCUGCUAAAAAAAAUACAAAAAAUUAGCUGGACAUGGUGGCGGGCACCUGUAGUCCUAGCUACUUGGGAGGCUGAGGCAGGAGAAUUGCUUGAACCCAGAAGGCGGAGGUUGCAGUGAGCCAAGAUCACACCACCGCACUCCAGCCUGGGCGACAGAGGGAGACCCUGUCUCCAAAAAAAAAAGAAAAAAAAAAGAAAAGAAAAAUUAGCCAGGCAUAGUGGUGGGUGCCUAUAAUCCCAGCUACUUGGAAGGCUGAGGCAGGAGAAUCACUUGAAGCCAGGAGGUGGAGGUUGCAGUGAGCUGAGAUGGUGCCACUGCUCUCCAGCCUGUGCAACAGAGUGAGACUCCAUCUCAGUAAAUAAAUAAAUAAAUAAAUAAAUAAAUAAAUAAAUAAAGUGCUUAGAAUUUUCCUGGUACAUGGAAAAUGUUCAAUAAAUGUUAGCUGCUUUUAUUUUUAUUAGCAAAGGGAUAGAAAGUAUGGGAAUAUGUGGACAGGUGGAACAGUAGAGUUAGAUGCUGCUAUAAGUUUUUAAGAAGGGAUUCUGGAGCUCUUCCUACUGCCCCUGCAGGAAAGGGAAGAAUCGAAGAACCCAGAAAUGAAGUUUGAAGAUUAAAUGAAUAGGACAAGGACUGAUAGUUUAAUCCUAGCAUAGACAGUGGGCCCUAAGGCUCCAAAUGCCCCUCUUCCCAAUGCUUGAGUGCUGGCUACACACUCUGACCUGUCUAGAGACUUAGAUGCACUCUGGAGGAAGAGAGGGAGGAAGCAGUCACUUGACCACAUUUAACCUGAACUUAUUUACAGUAAAUCUCUGCCAUUAGGUUGGAUGGGCACUUGGGAUAGAAAUGAAAUUCAGUUAUACAAAAAUAAGUUACUUUAUAUAUUCAUUUUACAUGAGCUUAUGGCCUAUGAAAUUCAACUCGUUACAAUAUAAUUAUUGACUGAUAGCCUGAGGCACAAGAGGAGGGUGUGAAAGAAUGGAAGGAGUGGGAGGGAAUAAAAGAAAUAUUGGAAGGCAGCUCUUUGUUCACCUUACACAUGGGGCUAGAGCUCUGAUGUCCAAUAUGGUAGCCACUAGCUACAUGAGUCCGAUGACUACCAAAUUGGAAAACCUAGCUAUAGAAAUUUUCAGCAUUGCACUGUUCUAUUGGACAGUGCUGGGAAUGUUGAUUGGCCGUGCAUAGUGGGUGGCAGAGUGUAAACCCUGGUGCUGGAGGUCCAUCCUGAUAUCCUCAUUUUUGGUUCCCAAUAAAUGGGCUCAAACUGGUCCUCUGAAGGUCCUGGACAGCUGCUCACAUCCACACGGCCAUCCAAGUCUGUGUCUCAGGCUUCUGCUCCUUCCUCCUUCCUCUAGGGAGUAGCUGCCUGCAGCUCUAGCUCUUUAUCCCCUUUCUUACAACCUGCUCCUCCAAAGUCAUGCCCAGACUCAUGUCCUGGGUCUCCUUCCCAGGCUCUCAGGAGGCUUCAGUCAAGCUGGUCUAUUCGUUCUCUGUCAUCUGCCUAGACUGAAUUAAGGUAGCUGGCAGGCUCCCUGUAGUUGGAGGCAGACAGGGCACCCCCAGUUAGUUCCUCCUUACUCUCUGCUGGCUCAUAUUUCCUGUUUUUAAUAGCUAGGUCCCUGGGCCUAUCAAGGGGUGAUACAAGGCCUGUCUCUUCCCUCCCCCACCAUGCUUACUUUGAAAAGGGGGAAGUGGAACUGCUCAGUGUUCAUGAGCUGGGCUAAUAGCACCUUCUGUCAUGCAGCCCUCCCAGCCCUGAAACCUCCAGCUCUCAGUCCUACUCAGGUUCCCACACCCACCCCACAAAAAGCCUUGUCUGAGGCUUCCUCCAGAAUUGCAAGGUCUGGGGAGCUGGGUGCCACAGACCCAGAGGAAGUUUCCCUGCUCUGUUCUGUUUGUUUCUGUAGAGAUGAUGUGAACACCUCACUGCUAUCCAAGUUUCAUUCAAUGAAUAUUUGUUGGUCAUCUGGGCCUGACCCUGAGAUCACCAGGGUCUACAAGGCAGAUGAAAGCCCUGCUCCUUAGACAUCUGCCCUAGUCGGGGAGACAGACAACAAAGAAGAAAAAUGGGAUCCUGGUUGAGGAGUUGGUGGGGGGCAGAUUCUAAUAUUGGAGGUUCUUUUGGGUUGGAGGGAGCUGGGCGUGCUAGGCAGGGACAAGAUGGAAAGGAGAAAGGAGGUGUAUGCCUGACUGUGAGCUCCAUUAAGCCAGGGACUGUGCCCUAUUUGCCUUCCAUUGAUUCCUCAGUGAUUCCUUCCAUUGAUUCCAUUGAUUCCUCCUCAGAGCGGGAGCUCAUGAAGCACUGAAUGAAUGACCGACCAGUGCUGCUGAGAUAGGCGCAAAGCUGGGGGCUUCUGAGCUGGACUUGCCUCUGUGGUCCCCAUGGCUGCCCUUGUUGCAUGGGGCCUGGACCCCAGCCCCAGCCCAGCCAGCUUUGCUGCCACUUGGAUUCAUUCUCUGCAGUUUCCAAGUCUUUCCCUGAGCUAUGGCCUCCAACCUAUCCCAGCUCAGGGCCGGUACGUGUCUAGGCAGCUCUAUCCAGCUCUUUCCUCACUUGGCAAUUUGUGAAGUGGAGACAUCAAGUGGUCAGAUCCUGGAACGGCAGCAGUCGAGCUGUGGACACAGAGCAAAGGCUCCCGAGCCCUCCUGCCAGGCAGAGCCCUGAUGCAGCGAUGAUUAGUACUGGAUCCACACAGAACCUUAUCCUGGCUGAGCCCAGAUUCCAGCCAUAGAACGAACUCUAAUCCUGGUCACAGACUGAGACCUCCAACUCCUAAUUAGGGGUCUAAGAGGGGUACUCCUAAACAAUUCCCCUAAUUUUACAUUUGUACUGUAAUGAACUGAUACAACUUUAAAAACUUUUUUUUGGAAGGUUCACAUAUAUUCAGAAUUUUCCAUUCUAAACAUAUCCAUGCAACCAAUGCUCAUUGCUGGCAAUCCCAGACACCUUCAUCUUCAUACUUCCUUCUACUCGCUACCUCCCCAAGGGUAACAACUUCUAUAUAUUUGAAAUCAUACUGUAUAUUCUUUUCUUUUUUUUGAGACAGGGUCUCAUUCUGUCACCUAGGCUGGAGUGCAGUGGUAUGAUCUUGGCUCACUGCAACCUCUGCCUCCCAGGUUCAAGUGAUUCUCGUGCCUGAGUAGCUGGGACUACAUGUGUGCGCCACCACGCCCAGCUAAUUUUUUGUAUUUUUAGUGGAGACAGGGUUUCCAUCAUGUUGGCCACGCUGUGUAUAUUCUUUUCGGUGUCUGGCUUCUUCUGCCCAAUGUCAUGUUGGUGAAAUUCAUCCACAUUGAUAUGCGUCCUUGUUGAUUGGUUAUACUUGGUGUGCACAGUCAGCCCCCCGUAUCCAUGGAUUCUGCAUCCAUGGAUUCAACCAGCCACAGAUUAAAAACAUUUUUAAAAAAGUUGCAUCUAUACUGAACAUGUAGACUUUUUUCUUGUCAUUCUUUUUUUUUUUUUUGAGACGGAGUCUUACUCUUUCACCCAGGCUAGAGUGCAGUAGUGCAAUCUUGGGUCACUGCAACAUCCACCUCCCAGGUUUGGGUGAUUCUUCUGCCUCAGCCUCCCAGUGAGCUGGGAUUACAGGCAUCUGCCACCAUGCCUGGCUAAUUUUUGUAUUUUUAGUAUAGACAGGGUUUCACCAUGUUGGCCAGGCUGGUCUUGAACUCCUGACCUCAGGUGACCUGCCUGCCUUGGCCUCCCAAAGUUGCUGGGAUUACAGGCAUAAUCCACCACCCCCAGCCCUUGUCAUUCUUUUCUUUUCUUUCUUUCUUUCUUCUUUUUUUUUUUUUUUUUUUGAGACAGAGUCCUGUUCUGUCACCCAGGCUGGAGUGCAGUGGUGCAUCUCGGCUCACUGCAAGCUCUGCCUCCCGGGUUCGCCAUUCUCCUGCCUCAGCCUCCCGAGUAGCUGGGAUUACAGGAGCCCGCCACCACGCCCAGCUAAUUUUUUCUAUUUUUAGUAGAGACAGGGUUUCACUGUGUUAGCCAGGAUGGUCUCGAUCUCCUGACCUCGUGAUCCGUCCGCCUCGGCCUCCGAAAGUGCUGGCAUGAGCCACUGCACCCGGCAUGAGCCACUGCACCCGGCCCAUUAUUUUCUUAAAACACAGUAUAACAACUAUUUACAUAGCAUUUACAUUGUAUUAGGUAUUAUAAGCAAUCUAGAGAUGAUUUAAAGUUUAUGGGAGGAUGUGCAUAGGUUAUAUUCAAAUACAACACCAUUUUAUGUAAAAAACUUGAGAAUUCCUGAAUUUUUGUAUCUGUGGGAGUCCCGGAAUCAAUCCCCCAUGGAUAUUGAGGGAUAGCUGUAUUUUACUGUGUGAAUUUAUACUGCAACUUAGUUAUCUAUUCUAUUGUCAAUGAGCAUUUGGGUACUUCCAUUUGAAGGUUAUUGUAAGUAGUGCUGCCAUGGAUUUUGUAGCAUAUGUCAUUUGGUGAACAGAGCUUAGGCAUCUCUGUACCUAGAAGUGGAAUUGCUGGGUUAUGGGUUUUGUAUUGAUUUAGCUUCAUUAGUUGCUAAUAAAUAGUUUUCCGAAGUAGUUAUACCGAUUUACAUGCCCCACUCAGGGUAUGCCAAUUCCAGUUGUUCCAUACCAUUACAGUAUUCAUUCUAGACUUUUUGUCUUUUCUACUGUAGACUUUCUGGAUGAUGUGUACUGAUGAUAUCACUCUUGGAUGGGCCUGCAAUGCAGAUGAGCUUAUGUGCAGAUGUAUUGAUUUUAUUAUUAAUAAAUGGAAGGGAUUUUAAUGGAACUGGCCCUGCUAUCUUAUAAUUGACACUGAAAAGGGAUCCAGCUCAACAUUUCUAAAACCCAAAUAAAAGAUUUUAGUCAUUUAAGCAAAAAUUUGUAAAUCUCUCAAAUUCAUAAACUCAUAAGGGACUCCUUCUAUCACUU